This 492-nucleotide ribosomal RNA is filed under the name uncultured bacterium. Its description in RNAcentral is "partial 16S ribosomal RNA". It matches the Rfam family "Bacterial small subunit ribosomal RNA", at positions 29 to 507 of the family's 1533-position model. The record is from RNAcentral.
AGUGAACGCUGGCGGUAGGCCUAACACAUGCAAGUCGAACGGCAGCACAGUAAGAGCUUGCUCUUCCGGGUGGCGAGUGGCGGACGGGUGAGGAAUACAUCGGAAUCUACUUUUUCGUGGGGGAUAACGUAGGGAAACUUACGCUAAUACCGCAUACGACCUACGGGUGAAAGCAGGGGAUCUUCGGACCUUGCGCGAUUGAAUGAGCCGAUGUCGGAUUAGCUGGUUGGCGGGGUAAAGGCCCAGCAAGGCGACGAUCCGUAGCUGGUCUGAGAGGAUGAUCAGCCACACUGGAACUGAGACACGGACCAGACUCCUACGGGAGGCAGCAGUGGGGAAUAUUGGACAAUGGGCGCAAGCCUGAUCCAGCCAUACCGCGUGGGUGAAGAAGGCCUUCGGGUUGUAAAGCCCUUUUGUUGGGAAAGAAAAGCAGCAGGUUAAUACCCCGCGGUUCUGACGGUACCCAAAGAAUAAGCACCGGCUAACUUCGUG